GUGUAGGAGACUUUAGCAGCACAUAUACUAAAAUUGGAACAAUACAGAGAAAAUUAGCGUGGCCCCUACACAAAGAUGACAUGUAAAUUCAUGAAGCAUUCCAAAGCGAA
Small nuclear RNA from Nomascus leucogenys (northern white-cheeked gibbon), 110 nucleotides. The record is from Ensembl. Lineage: Eukaryota; Metazoa; Chordata; Mammalia; Primates; Hylobatidae.